This 796-nucleotide ribosomal RNA is filed under the name uncultured bacterium. Its description in RNAcentral is "bacterial SSU rRNA". It matches the Rfam family "Bacterial small subunit ribosomal RNA", at positions 46 to 836 of the family's 1533-position model. The record is from RNAcentral.
GCCUAACACAUGCAAGUCGAGCGGAGAUGAGGUGCUUGCACCUUAUCUUAGCGGCGGACGGGUGAGUAAUGCUUAGGAAUCUGCCUAUUAGUGGGGGACAACAUUCCGAAAGGAAUGCUAAUACCGCAUACGUCCUACGGGAGAAAGCAGGGGAUCUUCGGACCUUGCGCUAAUAGAUGAGCCUAAGUCGGAUUAGCUAGUUGGUGGGGUAAAGGCCUACCAAGGCGACGAUCUGUAGCGGGUCUGAGAGGAUGAUCCGCCACACUGGGACUGAGACACGGCCCAGACUCCUACGGGAGGCAGCAGUGGGGAAUAUUGGACAAUGGGGGGAACCCUGAUCCAGCCAUGCCGCGUGUGUGAAGAAGGCCUUAUGGUUGUAAAGCACUUUAAGCGAGGAGGAGGCUACUGAGACUAAUACUCUUGGAUAGUGGACGUUACUCGCAGAAUAAGCACCGGCUAACUCUGUGCCAGCAGCCGCGGUAAUACAGAGGGUGCGAGCGUUAAUCGGAUUUACUGGGCGUAAAGCGUGCGUAGGCGGCUUUUUAAGUCGGAUGUGAAAUCCCCGAGCUUAACUUGGGAAUUGCAUUCGAUACUGGGAAGCUAGAGUAUGGGAGAGGAUGGUAGAAUUCCAGGUGUAGCGGUGAAAUGCGUAGAGAUCUGGAGGAAUACCGAUGGCGAAGGCAGCCAUCUGGCCUAAUACUGACGCUGAGGUACGAAAGCAUGGGGAGCAAACAGGAUUAGAUACCCUGGUAGUCCAUGCCGUAAACGAUGUCUACUAGCCGUUGGGGCCUUUGAG